RNAcentral lists this ribosomal RNA (492 nucleotides) under uncultured bacterium. Its description in RNAcentral is "partial 16S ribosomal RNA". It matches the Rfam family "Bacterial small subunit ribosomal RNA", at positions 29 to 507 of the family's 1533-position model. The record is from RNAcentral.
AGUGAACGCUGGCGGUAGGCCUAACACAUGCAAGUCGAACGGCAGCACAGUAAGAGCUUGCUCUUACGGGUGGCGAGUGGCGGACGGGUGAGGAAUACAUCGGAAUCUACUUUUUCGUGGGGGAUCACUUAGGGAAACUUACGCUAAUACCGCAUACGACCUACGGGUGAAAGCAGGGGAUCUUCGGACCUUGCGCGAUUGUAUGAGCCGAUGUCGGAUUCGCUAGUUGGCGGGGUAAAGGCCCACCAAGGCGACGAUCCGUAGCUGGUCUGAGAGGAUGAUCAGCCACACUGGGACUGAGACACGGUACAGACUCCUACGGGAGGCAGCAGUGGGGAAUAUUGGACAAAGGGCGCAAGCCUGAUCCAGCCAUACCGCGUGGGUGAAGAAGGCCUUCGGGUUGUAAAGCCCUUUUGUUGGGAAAGAAAAGCAGCAGGUUAAUAACCCGGUGUUAUGACGGUACCCAAAGAAUAAGCACCGGCUAACUUAGUG